CAAACAUGGCCAAAGGUAAACGGGCCUGGCUGCGAAUCGAACGCGCAAUCUUAAGAUCUGGAGUCGGACGCACAACUUUGCAGAAAAUACCAUACGCGAUAUUCAUCUUCUGAAGUGAACAAUCGAUUACUGGUGAAGCGCAAAUGCGAUGGAGCUGAGGAGGAGAAAUUGCACAGUGAUAAACUGAUAAUGUCCUGAAAGAUGAGGCCUUUUCGCAUGCAGAGUCUUGUAUAGAAGAAUAAAAGGAAAGGAGAAUUCCCAAUUCCAUCCUCAAAAUGGCAUCACUUUGGAUUCUUCAAUUUCAUCCCUUAUCUAUUCAGCCAUCGAUUUGGGUUUCAAAGCGCCGGGUUUCUCCGAAUUUUCUGCAACUUAGGAGAGAAUUUGAUUUGCCUCAUGGUCAAUUGAAGUGGAAUCGAUCAACAGCCAAUCCAUUCUUUCAAUUGAGAGCUAUAAGUAGUUUGGGGAGUUCUGAAGACGGGGGAGUUCCACAACAUGGGGUGGUCAAGAUUCCCUUGGAAUCCAAACACCCAAUUGCCAAAUUGCAAGGAAUGAUUUCCAUUUUCCCUCCCGUUGUUUUUCUGACAAGAAGAGGAGCUGGAAGUAAUUUUUUAAUCUGGUUGUGUGUUGCAACUGCAUUUUUGCUUAUUGUUGUGAGAGUGUAUGUGGUGAGGAAGUCAACGUACAACCGUCCUGGCUCUGUAGCUGAUCUUGUCAGACGUGGGCAACUAAGAUCUGAUAGAAGAGGCAUGUACGAUUCUCAUCCCUAAUACUAUCUCUAUCUCCUGUAAUUUUUGUAGUUUUGCUAUUUUGACUUACUCAGAAUUCAUAGAUAUGAGUCUAGGAGGGAUUAAUAUUGAGCUGCAUUUGUUCCUUGUAACUUGCUUUCAUUUAUUUCUGUGGUGUUAUGAAAUCCCAAUAUCACAUUAUAAGCCAUUUCAAGCUUUUCAACCUUGAUAAUGUUAUUCACAGCUCAAGGCCUCUCAAAUAUGAUGAUCCAUUCAAUAAUCCAUUGGUGAAGGUUGGUAAGAGUAAUUCCACUGUAGAAAUGUGUGGGAAAGUUUAUAAGUUGGCCCCAGUUACGCUGACAGAAGAGCAACAAGCAAUCCAUCAGAAAAGGAGAUCCCGAGCAUACCAGUGGAAAAGGCCAACUAUAUUUCUUAAAGAAGGGGAUUCUAUACCUCCUGAUGUUGACCCUGAUACAGUCAGAUGGAUUCCCGCAAAUCAUCCCUUUGCAACUACUGCUAGUGACAUUGAUGAAGACCUGGCCCAAAAUAAUGUUUAUCAGAAACAUGGUGUUCCAUUCCGUAUUCAAGCGGAGCAUGAAGCACUACAGCGAAAGCUAGAAGCAUUACAACAAGAGCAAAAACUCAAUAAAUUGGUCAUUGAUACCGGCAAUGCUAAAGAUUUUGAAAGACUACUAAAGUUUAAUCCAAAGCCAAAUGAGCUUAUAGAACAGAGUCCAUUCAACAAUCAAGCAGGUGAUCCUAUGCCAUCAAAAUCAGAUUCUGCCGCAAAUUCCUUCAAGAGCAAUUCAUCCUCAGAGGAAAUUCAGAAACCAUAAAUUAGUUUUUGCAUUUGACAACAUUUACCCAGCUGUUAAAUAUCCAUAUUUUGUAUUGAACUUAGGAUUUUUGACAAUUAGAUGAGUGUGGAUGUUGAUAUUGUCUGUGGAAAUUAGAAUUUCAACCGAGCUCAGUCCAGUUGUAAGUUGUAAAACGUGAGGUUGGACAGUGAAUAUAAUGGCAGAUGCCCUAUUUAUUUUGGUUUGCAAAUUGCUUUGUCUGCCUCAAGAGAGCUGACCUGCCCCACACCCACACAAAUACAGAGUUGUAUUCCUCCAGGAGCUGAACUGAUGUUUAUUGCAUGCAUCGUCGUGAACACAGUAUUUGUGGCUUACGCGUUGCCAUCCGAAGAUCAGUCAUUCAUUUUAUCUGUAGAUUAUUUUUUGGCCAGUUUCUCUUAUUUGUUAUUUGGAUGAAGCCUUCGCGCUGAUAAUAAUUUUUUAGUUGUUUGCAUCAAAUCAACAUAAUUUGGUAAA
RNAcentral lists this unclassified non-coding RNA (2038 nucleotides) under Hevea brasiliensis (rubber tree). The record is from RNAcentral. Lineage: Eukaryota; Viridiplantae; Streptophyta; Magnoliopsida; Malpighiales; Euphorbiaceae.